UUAAGCGACUAAGCGUACACGGUGGAUGCCCUGGCAGUCAGAGGCGAUGAAGGACGUGCUAAUCUGCGAUAAGCGUCGGUAAGGUGAUAUGAACCGUUAUAACCGGCGAUUUCCGAAUGGGGAAACCCAGUGUGUUUCGACACACUAUCAUUAACUGAAUCCAUAGGUUAAUGAGGCGAACCGGGGGAACUGAAACAUCUAAGUACCCCGAGGAAAAGAAAUCAACCGAGAUUCCCCCAGUAGCGGCGAGCGAACGGGGAGCAGCCCAGAGCCUGAAUCAGUGUGUGUGUUAGUGGAAGCGUCUGGAAAGGCGCGCGAUACAGGGUGACAGCCCCGUACACAAAAAUGCACAUGCUGUGAGCUCGAUGAGUAGGGCGGGACACGUGGUAUCCUGUCUGAAUAUGGGGGGACCAUCCUCCAAGGCUAAAUACUCCUGACUGACCGAUAGUGAACCAGUACCGUGAGGGAAAGGCGAAAAGAACCCCGGCGAGGGGAGUGAAAAAGAACCUGAAACCGUGUACGUACAAGCAGUGGGAGCCUCUUUAUGGGGUGACUGCGUACCUUUUGUAUAAUGGGUCAGCGACUUAUAUUCUGUAGCAAGGUUAACCGAAUAGGGGAGCCGAAGGGAAACCGAGUCUUAACUGGGCGUUAAGUUGCAGGGUAUAGACCCGAAACCCGGUGAUCUAGCCAUGGGCAGGUUGAAGGUUGGGUAACACUAACUGGAGGACCGAACCGACUAAUGUUGAAAAAUUAGCGGAUGACUUGUGGCUGGGGGUGAAAGGCCAAUCAAACCGGGAGAUAGCUGGUUCUCCCCGAAAGCUAUUUAGGUAGCGCCUCGUGAAUUC
Molecule: ribosomal RNA, 845 nt
Filed under: Escherichia coli 7-233-03_S3_C2
Lineage: Bacteria; Pseudomonadati; Pseudomonadota; Gammaproteobacteria; Enterobacterales; Enterobacteriaceae
Description: bacterial LSU rRNA
Rfam family: Bacterial large subunit ribosomal RNA
Source: RNAcentral